Molecule: unclassified non-coding RNA, 200 nt
Filed under: Hevea brasiliensis (rubber tree)
Lineage: Eukaryota; Viridiplantae; Streptophyta; Magnoliopsida; Malpighiales; Euphorbiaceae
Source: RNAcentral
UGGCAAUCUUUCUCCUGGCAGCCCAGUUCAAAUUGAUCCCAGCUUUCUUCUGGUGGUGCAGAACGUCUUCUAGGCUUCCAUACUUCAUAUACUCGUACACCAAUAGCCGCUCUUCUCCAACCUUGCAGUAUCCGAGAAGGGGAACAAGGUUCCUGUGCUUGAUUUUCCCAAUGGUUUCCAUUUCUGCAGUGAAUUCCCUA